This 659-nucleotide long non-coding RNA is filed under the name Nicotiana benthamiana. RNAcentral describes it as "long non-coding RNA (NBEN_LNC020845)". The record is from RNAcentral. Lineage: Eukaryota; Viridiplantae; Streptophyta; Magnoliopsida; Solanales; Solanaceae.
AUUAAGUCCCAUAAGGAACUGAAACACCUUAUUCUCAUUAUCUUCCUGUAUGAUGCCAUUUCUGGCAGGACAAAUGCAUCUUUGUCCAUGGUUUGCACACAUUGUUCCUAAUUCAUCCCACAGUCCUUUAAGUUUGUUAAAAUAUGAAGCUACAUCUAGAGAUCUUUGACAGGUAUGAGAGAGUUCUCUUUUUAGUUCAAAAAUUUUGGUUCUGUUACUGGUAUCAUAUCUAGCUGCGAGCUGUGCCCAUAUGCUCUGUGCAGUAUCAGAAUACUACACACUCUCAGCUAUUUGAGGGGAUAAGGAAGCAGUCAACCAGGAUAUUUAGUGUCUGGUCUGGGACAUGUACCAUCAACAAAGCCAAUUUUAUUUUUGGCAGACAACGCUACAAUCAUUUUCCUUAUCCAACCCCCAUAACCACUACUCGAGAAGGGAGAGGACACAAGAGAAACACCAGGAACAUCAGAGGAGUAAACAAAUAAGGGACUAGUAGGAUCAACAGGAGUCGUAUUAGUACUCAUGUUAGCAGUCGUGAAGAACAAUGAGUUCAAAGUCAAAAUAUAAUCUCUGCAAGUAUUUUGAAAAACUAAAGUUGUAUAAAAAACUUCAUGCAAAUCAUAUAACAUCUAAAAUAGGAACAGAUUUACCCUCCUUCUUCG